Long non-coding RNA from Sphaeramia orbicularis (orbiculate cardinalfish), 130 nucleotides. RefSeq lists it as uncharacterized. The transcript is spliced from 2 exons. The record is from RefSeq and is a predicted model, not a curated record. NCBI's taxonomy places the organism in Eukaryota, Metazoa, Chordata, Actinopteri, Kurtiformes, Apogonidae.
UUAACCCUUUAACCCCUGGGACAUUAUUUCAGGUAAACAUUCUGCUGUGAAUUUGCAUCUGUAAAAGUGUCAUGAAAGCUGCUGUAAGUAUGUGCUUGUGUUCCUUUUCUUCAGUGGUUUUGCUUUACAG